CCUUCGGGUGGCAGCAGUGAGGAAUAUUGGUCAAUGGACGAGAGUCUGAACCAGCCAAGUAGCGUGAAGGAUGACUGCCCUAUGGGUUAUACACUUCUUUUAUAUAGGAAUAAAAUGUUCCACGUGUGGGAUUUUGUAUGUACCAUAUGAAUAAGGAUCGGCUAACUCCGUGCCAGCAGCCGCGGUAAUACGGAGGUUCCGAGCGUUAUCCGGAUUUAUUGGGUUUAAAGGGAGCGUAGGUGGAUUGUUAAGUCAGUUGUUAAAGUUUGCGGCUCAACCGUAAAAUUGCAGUGGAAACUGGCAGUCUUGAGUACAGUAGAGGUGGGCGGAAUUCGUGGUGUAGCGGUGAAAUGCUUAGAUAUCACGGAGAACUCCGAUUGCGAAGGCAGUUCACUGGACUGCAACUGACACUGAGGCUCGAAAGUGUGGGUAUCAAACAGGAUUAGAUACCCCUGUAGUC
This 460-nucleotide ribosomal RNA is filed under the name uncultured bacterium. RNAcentral's name for it is "partial 16S ribosomal RNA". It matches the Rfam family "Bacterial small subunit ribosomal RNA", at positions 338 to 795 of the family's 1533-position model. The record is from RNAcentral.